This 95-nucleotide microRNA precursor is filed under the name Nicotiana attenuata. RNAcentral's name for it is "pre miRNA mir-598". Lineage: Eukaryota; Viridiplantae; Streptophyta; Magnoliopsida; Solanales; Solanaceae. The record is from RNAcentral.
UUAAUGGGAUAUUGGUGAUAUUUCUUCGGAUUCAGACAAUGAUUUGGUGAUCAGUCAAAUCAUUGUCUGAAUCCGAAGAAAUAUCACCAACAUCC